This 250-nucleotide long non-coding RNA is filed under the name Paramuricea clavata. The record is from RNAcentral. Lineage: Eukaryota; Metazoa; Cnidaria; Anthozoa; Malacalcyonacea; Plexauridae.
GAUGAGUUCAAGUACCAAUUCAUUUGGUACAUUGUUUGUCGAAGUGAUGGAACUCGUCAAGUGUCUGCUCCUCGUAAUAAUUUUCAACUAUGUCUCAACCGAGCCCUCAUCGCAUUCUGACCAGCAUGAAGAUGCUUUUCACAGUAUUUUGGAAACACUGAAGUUAAACGACACGUUACGAUUACAAGAUGUGAACGUUAUUCUAACGAGGCUUGGAAUACAUGAUUGCUCAAACGCUACCAAACAUAAG